GGAGGGAAAUGCAAGGUGGCUUGGAGGCUCAUUACGGAGCCAGAAAGUAGUGGUGGCCUUGGCAUCCAUGACCUACCGCGCUUUGCGCACGCUCUGCGGCUAAGAUGGCUCUGGUGGAGCUUGCAACAGCCAGCAGGACCAUGGGUGGGCACCGGCACGCCCUACGACGACGGCGAUCGAGCCCUCUUCAUGGCAUCAACGACGGUCACCAUCGGCAAUGGUGACACGAUGACCUUUUGGCACUGCAGCUGGCUCGAGGGACGCCCGCUGCGCGAUGCCUACCCCUUGUUGUUCAACCACUCUACCAGGAAGAACAGAACGGUGUGGGUUGCACUGCAGGGGGGCAGGUCGAUCCUUGACCUAAGGCACAGCGACGUGGAGGGCAUCGUACAGUAG
Molecule: ribosomal RNA, 396 nt
Filed under: Triticum aestivum (bread wheat)
Lineage: Eukaryota; Viridiplantae; Streptophyta; Magnoliopsida; Poales; Poaceae
Description: partial small subunit ribosomal RNA
Source: RNAcentral